This 567-nucleotide long non-coding RNA is filed under the name Populus trichocarpa (black cottonwood). RNAcentral describes it as "long non-coding RNA (PTRI_LNC002826)". Lineage: Eukaryota; Viridiplantae; Streptophyta; Magnoliopsida; Malpighiales; Salicaceae. The record is from RNAcentral.
AUAUUUUCCUUUUGCCCUAACUAUUUGAGAUUCUCGAGCACACUUGAUGAAAACUUGCAUGCUUAUUUACCAUACCUUAAGAGGACCAUAUACACAUGACCAGUCUGUUCUGGGUCACUGCUUCGUUAGCAAACACAACUUCAUAUUCCUUCACGGAUGAUCUAUCACUGGUUUUGGGCCAACCCUCUGGAAGACUCUGAUUUGAAUGGAUAGCAUCUGCGGCCGACCCAUUAUUAAUCCCGGUUCCAUCAUCAAGAAAUCCAAUUUUUUUAUUCUGAUUCAGUAUAAACAUGCAUGUUAAUUACUUCUCGUAGCAAUAUGUCUUCAUAUGUUUCUUGACUGAUUUAGGACCCGUAAGUACCAUAUAGUAUUAUCGUUGUUCCAGAUGAUCAACCAAAAGCAAUAAUAGCAAAGGUUGAUGGUGGGAUUAUUUUCAGGGCUAACAAAAACUGAUAAUUGAACGAAUUAGGGAGCAUCUAUUAACAAGAAAAAGCAACCGACCUCAUUGUUAUUUUUGCUUCUUGAGGAAAUCCGAAUCCUUCAUGAUUACCUUUGACCAACAAAAUA